This 274-nucleotide ribosomal RNA is filed under the name uncultured bacterium. Its description in RNAcentral is "partial 16S ribosomal RNA". It matches the Rfam family "Bacterial small subunit ribosomal RNA", at positions 523 to 796 of the family's 1533-position model. The record is from RNAcentral.
CUACGGAGGGUGCAAACGUUGCUCGGAAUUAUUGGGCGUAAAGCGCGCGUAGGCGGCUUGAUAAGUCGGAUGUGAAAGCCCUCGGCUCAACCGAGGAAGUGUAUACGAAACUGUCAGGCUUGAGUAUGGGAGAGGAUUGUGGAAUUCCCGGUGUAGAGGUGAAAUUCGUAGAUAUCGGGAGGAACACCAGUGGCGAAGGCGACAAUCUGGACCAAUACUGACGCUGAGGUGCGAAAGCGUGGGGAGCAAACAGGAUUAGAUACCCUAGUAGUCC